CAUGGCGUACAGGUGAGUAAUAUACAAGAAUCUACCUUAAAGUUUGAAAUAAUCAUAUUUUUUUUAAGAAUGCUCUGCAGUGAUAACUUCAAUAAAAGUAAAAUACUGCUUUAAGAUGAGCUUGUAUAGGAUUAAGUUGUUGGUAAGGUAAUGGCUUACCAAGCUGAUGAUCCUUAGCUGGUCUGAGAGGACGAUCAGCCACACUGGGACUGAGAUAAGGCCCAGGCUUUUAGCCAGCAGUGAGGAAUUUUGGACAAUGCGCGAAAGCGUGAUCCAGUAAUACUGCGUGAAUGAGGAAAGCAAAAAAGGUUUAUAAGCUUUUUAAGUUUAUAGAUCGGUUGUAAAAUUCUUUCGCUAAGUAGGAUUGUGACUUUAUUUAGAGAAGAAGCCCCGGCUAAUUUCGUGCCAGCAGCCGCGGUAAUACGAAAGGGGCGAGCGUUAUCCGGAAUGAUUGGGCGUAAAGAGUUCGUAGGCGGUAUUUGUUGUUACAUGUUAAAUCCUAGGUUUAUACUUAGGUCUGCGUGUAAUACUCUUUUACUUGAGUAUAGUAGAGGAUAACAGAAUUUCAUACAUAGGGGUAAAAUCCAAUUAUUUAUGAAGGAAUGCCAGUGGCGAAAGCGGUUAUCUGGACUAUUUACUGACGCUGAGGAACGAAAGCAUAGGGAGCAAACAGGAUUAGAUACCCUGGUAGUCUAUGCUGUCAAAGAUGAGUGCUAAUAUUGGGAGUUUUUUCUGAUGUAAAG
RNAcentral lists this ribosomal RNA (743 nucleotides) under eukaryote SCGC AAA074-C17. RNAcentral describes it as "bacterial SSU rRNA". It matches the Rfam family "Bacterial small subunit ribosomal RNA", at positions 94 to 851 of the family's 1533-position model. The record is from RNAcentral.